UUUCCGUAGGUGAACCUGCGGAAGGAUCAUUAUUGAAUAAACCUGAUGUGGUUGUAGCUGGCCCUUUCGGGAGCAUGUGCACACCCGUCGUCUUUAUCUUUCCACCUGUGCACCUUUUGUAGACCUGGAUGUAACACUUUCCGAGGCAACUCGGUCGGGAGGAAUGCUGUCAGCUUUCCUUGAAUGUCCAGGCCUAUGUUUUCAUAUACCCCAAAGAAUGUAACAGUAUGUAUUAUUGGGCCUUGUGCCUAUAAACUAUAUACAACUUUCAGCAACGGAUCUCUUGGCUCUC
Molecule: unclassified non-coding RNA, 292 nt
Filed under: plant metagenome
Description: partial contains small subunit ribosomal RNA, internal transcribed spacer 1, and 5.8S ribosomal RNA
Source: RNAcentral